CUGUUAUAAAAGCAACACCUCAGCAGUGCCACAGACUGAUCACCUCCAUGCCACACCACACUGAUGCAGGAAUUCAUUCAAAAGGAGCUGCUAUCAAGUACUGAGUGUGUAAAUGAACAUUUUUCAGGAGUUAGAUAUUUCUGCAUUAU
Molecule: long non-coding RNA, 149 nt
Organism: Thalassophryne amazonica
Lineage: Eukaryota; Metazoa; Chordata; Actinopteri; Batrachoidiformes; Batrachoididae
Exons: 3
Source: RefSeq, a predicted model, not a curated record